ACGCAUUCUCCAACGUUCAAAAUCCUUCCGUUGAUUCCACGGACGGCCGAUGUCAGUUAUGCGAGGGGGUGGAAAGCACUUUUGGCGGUAUCACAUGUUGCUUCGCUGUAAACAUGGACGAUCUGGAUUUGAUUCAAUUAUCCAAAGCGAGAGAAACGGUGUUUGAGUGAUGGCGCGAAAAUUACCGAUUUCGUUGCGCAUAUUGACAAAGUUAUGGCGAGGGAUCUGUAUGCGAAGCGGAAUCUAAGCAAAAAUACGAAGAAAGUGGAAAAUCGCUUAAAGUCACUGGUCGAAAACCAUCCACUAUGCAGAUGGACAGAUAAAUUUCGCGUCACUUGAUAGUACUAUCGUAUGACUACGAACUAUUGACACUAGCUGAAAGUGAAAUGUAACGGCUGAUGAAAAAAAAUUGAAAAAGAUAGAGAUACGUAAGUAUUAGCAUUAGGUUGGCAUAAAAGUUUCUUUCGUUUUGUGAGGAAAUAAUAAAUGUACAUUUUUUGUAUCAUAUUAUUGUAUUGAAUUAUGUAUGAUCUAUUUUGUAGUAAUAGAAUCCAUUUUAUUUUAUUCGUACAGAAUUCAUUAAUAAUAACAUUAUAUUUCCUUAUAAAACUAAAGAAACUUUUGGGACAACCUAACGCAUAUAAAUACCUUUUCACAGCUACUGUAUAAGAUUAUAAAAGAUACUGAUAUACAGGAUAUUGUUAGCUGUAGCUGCACAGCCACCACGCACUCAGCAUCGCAAAUAUCGAAAGCCCUGAAGAAAAUUUGAAGAAGAAAUGCUGUAAUUUUAUAAAACUGAAUUCUAAUCGACGAGACGAGUAAACGUGUGACAGAUAUCGUAGAAUAGAAAAAAAAGUGUGUAAUAGGCAAAAAAAGAAAUGUUUAAUAUAAAUUUUACUUAGAAUUCAUACACGUAAGUAGAUAUGACUUUUCUGCCAGUCACUCACUGUGCAUUAUCUGACAUAAUUUAUCUCUCGUACUUAUUCUUUCAUCCAGGCAAAGGAAGCUGUCGGAACAGAUUUAAUUCCCGUUCAUUAGAUUCGUCGCCUUACUGAAUACGAUAUUCUCGAGUUCGCGGUUCAAGGGAAAGCGAAGAAUUCUGGUGGGGUCGAGAGCAACGUUCAAGAUGAAAUCCUCGGCCCUUGUUAAAUCGUCUCGGUCGGGGUCGAACAAUGCGUUCGCCAGCAUCCUCGUUUCUCGGUGAUUGCACAUAAAGCUGCCAUUAUUAGAACUUCAGCGGGCGGAAAGCGCUGGUGCUUUUUCCAGUCUCGCGUUCGCGUUUACUCUUACGCACAAUUCGCCGCUGCACUCGCGUGCGUUUCCAGCCGCGUUCAUCCGUCCAUGUGGCUGCCAGUCGUAACGCGAAGCUCGUUCGUCGCGUUUACUCCACUUUUUUCAUCGAAAAAUUUUAUCCGGAAUAUCACGUUCGACUCGACGACCGAUUAAUUAUCGUAUUUUACUUUCACCGAUGGUGCAUCAUUUUCAUGGGAAACGUUUAAAUUUCCACGUGGUGCCACGUGGUGGAAAAAUUGGCCAUCGGUUGCUGCACGACGCUCCUUCGUCGCGUUUAUUCCACCUCUUCGGCGAAACGUUCCAUCCGGAACGUCGCGAUCGACACGAGAUCGAAAUUAAUUAUAUUCUACUUUCUCCGAUGGUGGAUCGUUGUUGCGCGAAAGAAAAUUAAAUUCCUACGGCACGUGGUGAAUAAAUUGGCCACCAGUUGCUGCACGACGCUCCUUCGUCGCGUCUACUCCACUUUUUCGUCGAAACCUUCUGUCCGGGGGUAUCGCGAUCGACCCGAGAUCCGAUCGAUCGUCUUAUCCUUCCGUCCUUUUCGCGAAAGUCGUUCGAAUUUCUGUGACGCGCGCGUGGAAAAUACUGGCGCGAAUCUUCGAGUUAGUGAGAAUCUUUGGCUCGAAUUUGAUGAUUCGUUCGCGUGGGAAUCGCACGGCGAGGCGUGCGAUUGUCGCGAUCGCUCUUAUCGCUCGCUGCACUUACGUUCCGCUUCGUUCUACCGACUACUAGUUUGCUGCAUUCCCGGUUACUUUACUGGUGGUGAAUCGUUAAUCGACGCGAGUUACCGUCGACGAGUUUGUUACGAUACGCAAGUACAGUGGAAAAAGGAGUUUAGCGAAACAGUUUCGUAAAGCUAAACGAUUGGACGAAUCGAAAGGAAUUGGAAGUCGUUCUAAGAAUUCUGUUCGAAGACAGCUUUGAGAAGGCGAACGGCGAUUGAAAAAAGAAGAAAUUGAAAGACGUCGAAGGAAAUCGAGAAACGUUCGAAUUCAACGAGGCAGUUUCGUACGCCUAGAGACGAUGAUCGAAGGAAAUUGAGAAAGAUUCGUCUGUAUUUUAAGAUUCUGUAUCAAUUUGGUAUAAAUAGGUCGAGCAAAUAUUCACGGUUAAUCUUUUCGAUAAAGCACUACCUACAAAACCA
RNA transcript from Bombus terrestris (buff-tailed bumblebee), 2437 nucleotides. RefSeq lists it as uncharacterized. The record is from RefSeq and is a predicted model, not a curated record. The transcript is spliced from 2 exons. NCBI's taxonomy places the organism in Eukaryota, Metazoa, Arthropoda, Insecta, Hymenoptera, Apidae.